GUGGGAAUGGGCCACUGCCGGACAGCUUCCACCUUCUUCAGAUCCAUUUGUACUCCCCUGGCAUCAAUGAUGUAGCCCAAGAACUGAAUAGAGGAGCGGUGAAAUUCACAUUUUUCGAUUUUGAGGUACAGGUGAUUAUCCCUAAGUCUUUGGAGGACCUGUGCCACAUGGAGAUGAUGAUCGGCCUCGUUCUGCGAGUAUAUGAGGAUGUCAUCAAUGUAAAUGAUCACAAACCGAUGUAGGUAGUCCCGGAAUACCUCAUUCAUGAAGGCCUGGAAUACGGAGGGUGAAUUGGCUAGUCCGUAUGGCAUGACCCUGUAUUCAUAAUGCCCUGAAGGUGUGAUGAAGGCAGUCUUCCAUUCAUCCCCCCUCCGUAUACGGAUGAGGUUGUACGCACUGCGCAGGUCUAGCUUGGUGAAAAUGGACGCCCCUCUCAACAUCUCGAGUGCCGCUGGUACCAGGGGAAGGGGAUAUUUGUACUGUACGGUCUGCUUGUUAAGGGCCCGGUAGUCAAUGCAUGGUCUUAAGCCUCCGUCUUUCUUGGCUACAAAGAAGAAACUGGAAGCGGCAGGGGAUGUAGAAGGGCGGAUGUAACCCUGACUAAGAGCCUCUUCUACAUACUCUUCCAUGGCCUUCUGUUCUGGGAUGGAUAGGGGAUACACUCUUCCCUUAGGUAGGGUUGCACCUGGCAGCAGUUCAAUAGCACAGUCCCAUGGUCUGUGCGGUGGCAAACGGGUGGCGAGUUGCUUACUAAAAACAUCCCGGAAAGAGCUAUACUCUUCUGGGACUGCUAUAUCAUGCUGACCUCUGGGACUCUCGAUGGUUGUGGCCUGGAGGAGUAACUGGGUUGAUCUAGUAGGGGAAGAGGGUCUAGUAGGGAGUUUUAGACAACUUUCAAAGCAGGAGGCGCUCCAAGAGAGGAUGUCGCCAGUAGUCCAGGAAAGGUGUUGUUGCAGCCGUCUUUGACGUUCAGCAGGUGAGAGAUGGAAGGAGUCAACUUGCAUCGGUUCGAUGGCUGAUGCUGAAGGAUAUUGCACUGGGGAAGAUAGGGCUACUGCGGUGGUGGUAGGUGAAGUAGGAGGCGCGGGCAAUCCCAGAUCACAUGCUGCUAGCCUCUGGGCUACCCGGAUAGAACGUUGGAUCAGAUUCUCCAAACCAAAGCUAUCAUCAUAGAUGGCGAGAUGUAAUCGGAGAGAUGGGGAUAGCCCCUGUCUAUAAGCUGUGAUGAGAGCAGCCUCAUUCCAUCCGCUCGCAGCUGCUAAGGUGCGGAACUUCACUGCAUACUCCGCCACCGAGGAUCUUCCCUGCUUUAGGUGAUAUAAUUGGUCAUGUACAGAAAGGGAGUUUGCAGAUUGAUCAAAUACCUCCUUAAAAUGUGUUACGAAGGUUUCCAGGGUACGAGUUGCAGGCCCAGCUUGUUCCCAGAUGGUUUUAGCCCACAGGAGAGCACGACCAGAGAGCAGUGAGAUAAUAAAUGCGAUCUUGGCUCUAUCUGUGGGGAAGCGCUGAGGUUGCAUCUCAAACAAUAAAGUGCACUGCAGUAGAAAGCCGCUGCAAUUCUCCGCCGCGCCACUGAACGGCGCUGGUAGGGCCAUAGGACCGGCCGGCAGUUCAGGUGAGGAAGCGGCGCCUGGAGGAAAGAGUGACUGCCGGAGCUGAUUCACGAGUUCGGCAAAUGGAUCGAUUUGUGACGUGGUCGGAGAACUGGGGUCCAUAUCUUCGUGAAAUAGUGGUCUGGUCUUCUGUCACGCACCACUGAAGCACAGGAGACAAGAUGAGAAUUCACUGAAUUUUAAUGAAGAGAUAAUACUCAGGGGAAACACCGCAGAGAUGAACGGAUGUGAAAGCCCAGUAUCCGAGAGACUUAUUAACUUCCACAACACAAGUCCUGGUGUACUUCAGAGAAGAGGAGAAUGGUAGGCCACUGACCAACGGCAGAAGAUGACGUCGAUGACGAUGAGGACGAAGAGGAUCUGAGAACUGGAGAUCAGGAGUCGGGUAAGUCUUUCACAUACGCGAUAGACGAGACCAGACGAUUAGGAGUCUGUGAGUGCGGGUUUAUAUGCACGUCUUGAUUGGGCAGCGGCAGGUGCAAUGACUUAAUACUCAGGUGAGCAGGAACGGGAAGGUUGAGCUGUAGGGUCUGACGCUGGUUGGUUGGCUGGAUCCGUGACAUAAUGUUGGA
Molecule: long non-coding RNA, 2185 nt
Organism: Cyprinus carpio carpio
Lineage: Eukaryota; Metazoa; Chordata; Actinopteri; Cypriniformes; Cyprinidae
Source: Ensembl